CGCCUACUGUAGGUACUUCUUUUUGUGUGUAUCAAAUGUGUAUGUAGUUAUGUAGUAAAUAGCCUGAGCCCGAGUUUGUGUAAUAUACGUAACAAUAAAAAAAACUUCAUUCCAAAUUCUUCUUCUUCUUCUUUAAUACAGGGAUUAGAGUUUGCCUCUUCUGUUUUCAACGAGAAUUAUGACCAUAUUUUGCGAAGUCUUCCUAAACGUCCCUAGAUUGUAAGCGUUGGAAGUGAUGUCCCAAGUUCCACAAUGGCAUUGCAUGCGAUAUAGAAAAUUCGAAUUGGUAAGAAGAUGUAGAAGCUACAAAAACAGUAUCAGGAGGUCAUGACUGAAGAGGUUUCAAUAAAGGCGUAUUGAUCUCAAUUAUUUAUCUAUUUAUACUCUAAUUUAAGCGUAGAUAUAUUAAUAAGUUAAGAUUAUUUAAUAUUUAUGGAAAUUGUACGUACCUAUUUGGAAAUAUAUUUGUCUUAACAUGUACACUAAA
RNAcentral lists this unclassified non-coding RNA (487 nucleotides) under Diabrotica virgifera virgifera (western corn rootworm). RNAcentral's name for it is "uncharacterized LOC114334514". Lineage: Eukaryota; Metazoa; Arthropoda; Insecta; Coleoptera; Chrysomelidae. The record is from RNAcentral.